UUUCCGUAGGUGAACCUGCGGAAGGAUCAUUAUUGUAUAAUCGAGGUGCGAGGCCCGUCGCUGACCCGAAAGGUCGUGCACGCCCGAGUGCCCUCACACACAUCCAUCUCACCCCUAUGUGCACCACCGCGUGGGUCCCCCUUUGGCUUGUUCGGUGGGGGGCUUACGUUUUCACACAAACUUUGUAUGCAGUGUAGAAUGUAUUUUUUGUUUUUGCGAUCACGCAAUCAAUACAACUUUCAACAACGGAUCUCUUGGCUCUC
This 263-nucleotide unclassified non-coding RNA is filed under the name plant metagenome. RNAcentral describes it as "partial contains small subunit ribosomal RNA, internal transcribed spacer 1, and 5.8S ribosomal RNA". The record is from RNAcentral.